CAUGAUUGUAAUUAGAUUGACUUUCUUUUAAGAUGGCUGAUUUUGGUGACACAAUUCUGGACGAGUUUGCAUUCUGUAACGAUUCUGUGGCCAGAGACCCGAUCCAGAACUUAACCUACAAAUUACAAAUUAAGAUAACCUCAAAUUUGGAACUGCUGACUUGGAGUUAGUUAAUUUGAAUCAAAUAAUAAUCUUCUCAAAUAAAUUUUAAUAUGUCGGCGAUUUUCAACUUCCAAAGUCUCCUAACAGUUGUUUUGCUGUUGAUUUGUACGUGCGCCUAUAUCCGAUCAAUGUUUCCCAGUCUUCUGGAUAGGAAUAAAGUUGGGUAAGUAUACAGGGUGCCUACG
Nilaparvata lugens (brown planthopper) is the source of this 347-nucleotide long non-coding RNA. RefSeq lists it as uncharacterized. The record is from RefSeq and is a predicted model, not a curated record. The transcript has 3 exons. NCBI's taxonomy places the organism in Eukaryota, Metazoa, Arthropoda, Insecta, Hemiptera, Delphacidae.